GGAAAAGGGCAUGUGGUAUGAAAAUACUCAUAGAAUAACUUCUUCAUGGUCACAGAUGAGUUUAGAUUUGAAAGAGGCUCUUUGAGAUCUUAGAUCAAGGUCAUCUGUGAUGAAUUUUGUAGACUGGUCGUAUACCUUGACCAUUCAUGGAAGAGACUCCUAUCUGAUAAGCUCGCCAGCUGCUGGGAUGGUCUGCUCCCCUCCAAUGCUGGGUAUGAAUGCCUACACCUCCAUGAACCGCACCACCAGGCGACUGCAUCACUCUCCCAGCAUAGUUUCCUUCAGGAAGUCACAGCUUUGGAGUGUGGAAGCUGGUGCGUUUCCAUCAGGUGUACAGCACUGGUGUUGCAGCCUGUGGAACCUGUCAUU
This 369-nucleotide long non-coding RNA is filed under the name Fukomys damarensis (Damara mole-rat). RNAcentral describes it as "lncRNA (ENSFDAG00000025341.1)". Lineage: Eukaryota; Metazoa; Chordata; Mammalia; Rodentia; Bathyergidae. The record is from RNAcentral.